UACGAAGGGGGCUAGCGUUGCUCGGAAUGACUGGGCGUAAAGGGCGCGUAGGCGGCUUGCACCGUCAGAUGUGAAAUUCCUGGGCUUAACCUGGGGGCUGCAUUUGAUACGUGUGGGCUUGAGUGCGGAAGAGGGUCGUGGAAUUCCCAGUGUAGAGGUGAAAUUCGUAGAUAUUCGGAGGAACACCAGUGGCGAAGGCGGCUCACUGGUCCAUUACUGACGCUGAGGUGCGAAAGCGUGGGGAGCAAACAGG
This 253-nucleotide ribosomal RNA is filed under the name uncultured bacterium. Its description in RNAcentral is "partial 16S ribosomal RNA". It matches the Rfam family "Bacterial small subunit ribosomal RNA", at positions 524 to 776 of the family's 1533-position model. The record is from RNAcentral.